GGCGCCGUGUCUUAAUUGGUUAAAGCGCCUGUUUAGUAAACAGAAAAUCACGAGUUCGAAUAUCGUCGGUGUCU
Non-coding RNA from Nephila pilipes (giant wood spider), 74 nucleotides. NCBI's taxonomy places the organism in Eukaryota, Metazoa, Arthropoda, Arachnida, Araneae, Nephilidae. The record is from the annotation of a GenBank genome assembly.